Molecule: ribosomal RNA, 1019 nt
Filed under: uncultured bacterium
Lineage: Bacteria
Description: bacterial SSU rRNA
Rfam family: Bacterial small subunit ribosomal RNA
Source: RNAcentral
AGGAAUAUUGGUCAAUGGGCGCAAGCCUGAACCAGCCAAGUAGCGUGAGGGAAGACUGCCCUAUGGGUUGUAAACCUCUUUUGUGCGGGGAUAAAGUGUGGGACGUGUCCCAUAUUGCAGGUACCGCACGAAUAAGGACCGGCUAAUUCCGUGCCAGCAGCCGCGGUAAUACGGAAGGUCCGGGCGUUAUCCGGAUUUAUUGGGUUUAAAGGGAGCGCAGGCCGUCCUUUAAGCGUGCUGUGAAAUGCCGCGGCUCAACCGUGGCACUGCAGCGCGAACUGGAGGACUUGAGUACGCACGAGGUAGGCGGAAUUCGUGGUGUAGCGGUGAAAUGCUUAGAUAUCACGAAGAACUCCGAUUGCGAAGGCAGCUUACCGGAGCGCAACUGACGCUGAGGCUCGAAAGCGCGGGUAUCGAACAGGAUUAGAUACCCUGGUAGUCCGCGCGGUAAACGAUGGAUGCCCGCCGUUGGGUUUUAGAAUUCAGCGGCCAAGCGAAAGCGUUAAGCAUCCCACCUGGGGAGUACGCCGGCAACGGGUGAAACUCAAAGGAAUUGACGGGGGCCCGCACAAGCGGAGGAACAUGUGGUUUAAUUCGAUGAUACGCGAGGAACCUUACCCGGGCUUGAAUUGCAGGAGAACGAUCCAGAGAUGGUGAGGCCCUUCGGGGCUCCUGUGAAGGUGCUGCAUGGUUGUCGUCAGCUCGUGCCGUGAGGUGUCGGCUCAAGUGCCAUAACGAGCGCAACCCCUGUCCAUAGUUGCCAUCAGGUCGUGCUGGGCACUCUGUGGAGACUGCCGCCGUAAGGUGUGAGGAAGGUGGGGAUGACGUCAAAUCAGCACGGCCCUUACGUCCGGGGCUACACACGUGUUACAAUGGGGCAUACAGCGAGUUGGAUGUGCGCAAGUACGUCCGGAUCAAUAAAGUGCCUCUCAGUUCGGACUGGGGUCUGCAACCCGACCCCACGAAGCUGGAUUCGCUAGUAAUCGCGCAUCAGCCAUGGCGCGGUGAAUACGUUCCCG